RNAcentral lists this unclassified non-coding RNA (164 nucleotides) under uncultured Helotiales. Its description in RNAcentral is "sequence contains ITS1". Lineage: Eukaryota; Fungi; Ascomycota; Leotiomycetes; Helotiales. The record is from RNAcentral.
CAGAGAUCGUGCCCUUCGGGGUAGACCUCCCACCCUGUGUUAUUUACGCAUGUUGCUUUGGCGGGCCGUCCCGCGGGGCUUCCGGCUUCGGCCGGGGUGUGCCCGCCAAAGAACCCAUAAACCCUACGUAUUUAGUGUUGUCUGAGCAUUAUCAAAAUAAGUUA